UACGUAGGUCCCGAGCGUUGUCCGGAUUUAUUGGGCGUAAAGCGAGCGCAGGUGGUUUAAUAAGUCUGAUGUAAAAGGCAGUGGCUCAACCAUUGUGUGCAUUGGAAACUGGUAGACUUGAGUGCAGGAGAGGAGAGUGGAAUUCCAUGUGUAGCGGUGAAAUGCGUAGAUAUAUGGAGGAACACCGGUGGCGAAAGCGGCUCUCUGGCCUGUAACUGACACUGAGGCUCGAAAGCGUGGGUAGCAAACAGG
RNAcentral lists this ribosomal RNA (252 nucleotides) under uncultured microorganism. RNAcentral's name for it is "partial 16S ribosomal RNA". It matches the Rfam family "Bacterial small subunit ribosomal RNA", at positions 524 to 776 of the family's 1533-position model. The record is from RNAcentral.